CAGCAGCCGCGGUAAUACGUAGGGUGCGAGCGUUAAUCGGAAUUACUGGGCGUAAAGCGUGUGCAGGCGGUGAUGUAAGACAGUUGUGAAAUCCCCGGGCUCGACCUGGGAACUGCAUCUGUGACUGCAUCGCUGGAGUGCGGCAGAGGGGGAUGGAAUUCCGCGUGUAGCAGUGAAAUGCGUAGAUAUGCGGAGGAACACCGAUGGCGAAGGCAAUCCCCUGGGCCUGCACUGACGCUCAUGCACGAAAGCGUGGGGAGCAAACAGGAUUAGAUACCCGUGUAGUCCCUGUCUCUUAUAC
Molecule: ribosomal RNA, 301 nt
Filed under: uncultured bacterium
Lineage: Bacteria
Description: partial 16S ribosomal RNA
Rfam family: Bacterial small subunit ribosomal RNA
Source: RNAcentral